GCGAGCGUGGCGGAAUUGGCAGACGCGCCAGGUUUAGGUCCUGGUGUCCGUUAUGGACGUGGAGGUUCGAGUCCUCUCGCUCGCA
This 85-nucleotide transfer RNA is filed under the name Planctomycetota bacterium. RNAcentral's name for it is "tRNA-Leu". It matches the Rfam family "tRNA". From Rfam's summary of the family: Transfer RNA (tRNA) molecules are approximately 80 nucleotides in length. Their secondary structure includes four short double-helical elements and three loops (D, anti-codon, and T loops). The record is from RNAcentral. Lineage: Bacteria; Pseudomonadati; Planctomycetota. RNAcentral also lists the same sequence under 1 other name.